Molecule: non-coding RNA, 90 nt
Filed under: Noctiluca scintillans
Lineage: Eukaryota; Dinophyceae; Noctilucales; Noctilucaceae
Source: RNAcentral
UGUUCGUUCAGGACAAGAGAAAGCGUGAACCAAGUCAGAUCUGGAAGACCGCUGCGUUCAAGGUGAAAGCUGUGCGCUUCAUGGCCCCGG